GACGAACGCUGGCGGCGUGCUUAACACAUGCAAGUCGUACGGUAAGGCCCUUUAGGGGGUACACGAGUGGCGAACGGGUGAGUAACACGUGAGUAACCUGCCCACAACUUAGGGAAAACGCUAGGAAACUGGUGCUAAUAGUGGAUAUGUGCUCCUGCUGCAUGGUGGGGGGUGGAAAGCUCCGGCGGGUGUGGAUGGACUCGCGGCCUCUCAGCUUGUUGGUGGGGUAGUGGCCUACCAAGGCGGCGACGGGUAGCCGGCCUGAGAGGGUGACCGGCCACUCUGGGACGGAGCGACGGCCCAGCCUCCUACGUGUGGCAGCAUUGCUUAAUAUUGCACCAUGGUCGCCAGCCUGAUGCCGCAACGCCUCCUGCGGGAUGACGGCCUUCCGGUUGCAAGACGCUUUCAGCAGGGGCGAAGCUUUUUUUGACGGUACCUGCUGAAGAAGCACCGGCUAACUCCGUG
RNAcentral lists this ribosomal RNA (465 nucleotides) under uncultured bacterium. RNAcentral's name for it is "partial 16S ribosomal RNA". It matches the Rfam family "Bacterial small subunit ribosomal RNA", at positions 28 to 507 of the family's 1533-position model. The record is from RNAcentral.